AUGGAGUUUUCCACUCUCAGUAUUCAUCCUGGCAAGUUUAUAGGUCAGCCUGAACACAUCAGAUGCAUGCCUACUGUUGUCGAGGAUACAAAAGGAGCCCUUGAGGUGUUUAAUCUCGUCGGUGAUCCUUUUAAAUCUCACUCGUUUGAUCUCAUCGGUAGUCCUUACGAUCUUACCCCAUUUUACAUCUAUCAUACCUUUCAACAAAAGGGAGAAUCUUCCAGUGAAUGGCAGCUGUUAAAUGUUAUGGAGUUGCCUCGCGGAUAUUGUUAUUAUACUGUGGGUGCAGCUGAGGGGUUCUUAUUCCUUGGAGGGAUUGGAAAAACUCAGUCAGAGGGGUUGCCGGAUGAUUGGAGUGCAGAUGUUUUCUCACUGGAGGUCAAGACUUCUAAACUUAAGAAGGUCUGUAGAGCAACAAACGCCACUGUCUUUUGUUUUCAGUCGUACUUUGGCUUCCCGCCAUCACUGUCAACACCGAGUCUAUGA
RNAcentral lists this ribosomal RNA (486 nucleotides) under Triticum aestivum (bread wheat). Its description in RNAcentral is "partial small subunit ribosomal RNA". The record is from RNAcentral. Lineage: Eukaryota; Viridiplantae; Streptophyta; Magnoliopsida; Poales; Poaceae.